CCUGCUGUGCCAUCUGGUUUUGGACCAUUUAGUUUGCAUAAGCAAAGUGUUAGUGUUACAUCUCAGUUAAUUGCUGUGGUGUAAUGACAGGGAUUUUUUUUGUUUUUAUGUUAGGUACUUGGAGGAAUUGUGCAAUAACGACAGAUUCACCCAUUUUUCUUUUGUUGAAAGUAAAUAAAUAAAUAAUAAACAAAUACAAAUCU
Etheostoma spectabile (orangethroat darter) is the source of this 203-nucleotide long non-coding RNA. RefSeq lists it as uncharacterized. The transcript has 3 exons. The record is from RefSeq and is a predicted model, not a curated record. Lineage: Eukaryota; Metazoa; Chordata; Actinopteri; Perciformes; Percidae.